AAACGACUCUSGGCAACGGAUAUCUCGGCUCUUGCAUCGAUGAAGAACGUAGCGAAAUGCGAUACUUGGUGUGAAUUGCAGAAUCCCGUGAACCAUCGAGUUUUUGAACGCAAGUUGCGCCCGAUACCAUUAGGUUGAGGGCACGUCUGCCUGGGCGUCACACACA
RNAcentral lists this ribosomal RNA (166 nucleotides) under Ranunculus insignis. Its description in RNAcentral is "5.8S ribosomal RNA". It matches the Rfam family "5.8S ribosomal RNA". Rfam says of the family: 5.8S ribosomal RNA (5.8S rRNA) is a component of the large subunit of the eukaryotic ribosome. It is transcribed by RNA polymerase I as part of the 45S precursor that also contains 18S and 28S rRNA. The record is from RNAcentral. Lineage: Eukaryota; Viridiplantae; Streptophyta; Magnoliopsida; Ranunculales; Ranunculaceae.